GUCAAGUGACAUACAGACACAAGAAAUAUUCAGUUAUGAGGAUUGAAGAAAUUAAUGAUCAUUCAGUCAUUGAGGAUUUGAGAAGAGGCAUCAAUGCUCCAGUAGAGGUGUUAUUGAAGUUGUGGCUGUCAAUAGUCCUUUUAUUGAUGCUAAGUACAUGGUAAGGAAAUAAUGCUAUAUGAUUUGCAUAUUUUUUGCUAUGAGAACUUCUGCAACUGAAACUCAAAGUUUAGGUGUUGAACUCAUAGUUUUGCAGUAGUUAGUUUUGUACUACUUUGUAUCAAAAUUGCAUCAUACCAUGUUGCACUGUAUUUCGAGCAUAGAAAAAUUACUUAACACCUAAUUUUGCACAAUUGGGUUCCUACUUUUUUCUGUUAUUAGGUGCAAUGAAAAAAAUCAUCCAGUGGGAUGUUCUACUGCAUCAGAAUUUGACAAAUUUAAUUCUGCCAUUAUAUUCUUCCCUUCACUGCUCAAGUUAACACCCCUCCUCCCAUUUAUUGGCCCAUAUGUUCAAUUAUGAAUCCACUCAUGGCCCCUUUAAAGGAUCCAUUAAGAUCGUGGAUGAUUCAGUAUUGGAGAUUAAUACGAAAAGAUCACAACCACGGGCGAAAGGUAAAUAUGCCAGGGUUAGCUAAUUGUUUGCCAUAUUAGUGUGGUUGAUAUAUAUGUCGCGGUUUCUAAAUAUGCAUGACAUGUUGUGCUGAAUAAGGACAUGUGAAGCAAUGAAGUCACCAAGGUAACAUUAUUAGUUAAUAAUUGAUUUAUAGUUUAGAGCCCCAUGUUUUUCGCACAUUCAUACGGACAUAUAAUAGCUUAUAAGCGCACGCUUGUUGUACAUCUCGAGUACUGCUUGUUCCUUCUCUUAUUUUGAUUCUUAUGUUCACAUGUUGAUUUUUUGUCAUAGAGGGAAAGGAGAAGUCUGAAUGCGCCAACAAGUAGCGACCAAUGAGCUGUCGUCUAUGGAUUGGCUAAGGGAGGAGUUGUCUUGUGCUGCAAGGGCAUCUUGCAGAUCGAUUUCCUUGGUUUGAUGUGUCUCAGAUUCUAAUUAGUAUUUAAUUUCCUUAGUUUUAAC
This 1072-nucleotide long non-coding RNA is filed under the name Triticum aestivum (bread wheat). Its description in RNAcentral is "long non-coding RNA (TAES_LNC005255)". The record is from RNAcentral. Lineage: Eukaryota; Viridiplantae; Streptophyta; Magnoliopsida; Poales; Poaceae.